This 29-nucleotide non-coding RNA is filed under the name Mus musculus (house mouse). The record is from RNAcentral. Lineage: Eukaryota; Metazoa; Chordata; Mammalia; Rodentia; Muridae.
GUUCAUGUCAGCACUAUUUGAAAUAGCCA